CCUACGGGUGGCAGCAGUGGGGGAUAUUGGACAUUGGGGGAACCCUGAUCCAGCGACGCCGCGUGAGUGAAGAAGUAUUUCGGUAUGUAAAGCUCUGUCAGCUGGGAAGAAAGCAAUGACGGUAACUGCCCAAGAAGCCCCGGCUAAAUACGUGACAGCAGCCGCGGUAAUACGUAGGGGGCACGCGUUAUACGGAAUUCCUGGGUGGAAAGGAUGCGUUGACGGCUGUGCACGUCUGGUGUGAAAGGUGGGGGCCCAACCCCCGGACUGCUCUGGAAACUGUAAGGCUGGAGUGCAGGAGAGGUAAGCGGAAUUCCUAGUGUAGCGGGGAAAUGCGUAGAUAUUAGGAGGAACACCAGUGGCGAAGGCGGCUUACUGGACUGUAACUGACGUUGAGGCUCGAAAGCGUGGGGAGCAAACAGGAUUAGAUACCCCUGUAGUC
RNAcentral lists this ribosomal RNA (442 nucleotides) under uncultured bacterium. RNAcentral describes it as "partial 16S ribosomal RNA". It matches the Rfam family "Bacterial small subunit ribosomal RNA", at positions 338 to 795 of the family's 1533-position model. The record is from RNAcentral.